Esox lucius (northern pike) is the source of this 128-nucleotide small nucleolar RNA. Ensembl annotates it as small nucleolar RNA ACA64. The record is from Ensembl. NCBI's taxonomy places the organism in Eukaryota, Metazoa, Chordata, Actinopteri, Esociformes, Esocidae.
ACAGUCUGAAAAUUACCUCAGAUAUACCAGUUGUCUGGGGUGAGAUAACCGUGCCAACAGUAUUUUGGUACAUUAAGCUUAUUGCCUGCUCUGUAUAGCAAGGUGAUUAAACCCAUGUGCCCACAUUA